Non-coding RNA from Phalacrocorax carbo (great cormorant), 3814 nucleotides. The record is from RefSeq and is a predicted model, not a curated record. NCBI's taxonomy places the organism in Eukaryota, Metazoa, Chordata, Aves, Suliformes, Phalacrocoracidae.
CUCCCGCCGUCAGCGGCGGACAAAGCGGCGGGGCGGCGCGCCGCCGCCUCCCGCCGAACAAAGGGGCCGGGGCCGCCCCGCCCCGCCCCGCGCCCGCCCGCCCGCCGGUGGGCACCGACGGACCGCCCCGCACCGACCGACCGACAGCCGCGCACCGACUGACCGCCCGCCCCGCACCGGGGAAGAGAAAGAGAGAGGAUGGAAGAAAGGAGGGACCUGGUUGCAUCACAGGACAGCUUCCAUGGAGCACAGGACAGGACUGGAUGCCCUGCCUCAGCAAAAGGACUGAACUACCAAAAGAAGUCCUUUCUUACCUUUGCAAAGAUGAUGGUGAAUGAUACGUUGUGAGCCCCACCAACUCCAUGCAAAGCUGCUUCACAGCUUCUCUUAAAAGAAGCAGAUCUAGCCCAGAAGAGCAUGGAUUUCAUUGCCAUUCCCCAGAGACAUACAUGCCACUGUGAUAAGACGACCACCUUUCUAAAGUAACUGGCAGGGGGUUUCUGAGAGUGAGAAGGAAAUGCUACUGGCAGUCUGAACAAACCAAACAGCAAGCCUCUACAGCCCCAUGCCUGGCUAUAUAAUUCUCACCCGCUGCCCAGAUUACAGCCAAGCCUUGGCCACAAUGGAGUGCACACUGCAUGUAUAGCAUAUGCUGUAUGUAUUGCUGUAUUUAUCAUUCAGCCACACUGGAGUGCCAAGUGAUACAUACAGCUAACUUUCCUGCCUUAGAGCGGAUGAGGAACGCUGCCUUCUCUGCCUCAGUGGCAGAGGGGCUGCACAUACAGGACAAAGUUUUCAAGGCUGCAAGCACUAGCUCUAAAUCACACGCCUGCUGGGCCACGUCUCCAAUUUCUUUUGUUGUUAUACUUCACUGAGCAGGCACACGAUCAAUGAUUACAGCACUUUAGCAAUGACCUCUCCAUAUGAGGAAACUCUGAUGCUCAGCCCAAGAUACUCACUGUUAAAUAGUGCUCACAAUCCUGGAUCUUGUUAUGACUCAAAUUCAAGACUCUCAGAACAUUCAGUAAUUGCUGGAGGACAAAAAGAUACUAGAUCAGAUCCUACAAAUGUCUCCAUUGCAGCACAGACACCCUGUCCUGCCAGGAGAGGACAGCAAAAUUAAUACUGCCCGCUCCCUCCCAUCCAGACCUAGCAGCAUCAUAAAGGAGUGCCCAGUUUUUGACUGUGAUCACCUCCUCUCUUCCCCUCAGUCAUGUGGGAAGGAUGCCCCACUCACCAGUGAGUCAUCCAAGGCAGUGAUCGAGUUAUAGCUGAAGUUCACAGUCUGCAAUUCCAACCAAGGGAGAGCACAGCUCAGAUCUCCACCACAUGCUGAAAUUAUUUCCUAGGAGAAAGUGAGGACCCAUAUCUUUGUGAGUACUAGCUGUUACAGUAACAGCAGAUGAAUGCAGGAGAACAGCUAGUCUAGAACAAGGCUGGCAUAUUGUGCUUUACAGACCCUGCCUUGCCUAGGGUGGCAAUGACUUUUAUGUCACUAAUGUGUUUAGAGGUGGUGGGAAUUCCACAGCUAGAUGUUUAGAAAGAAGGAGACACACUUUUGCCUCCUACACUCAGGUAGCAAUAGUUAACCUAACGUUACAGUUGUAGGCUCUCAACACUAAGCACAAAGAUUCAUGCUAACAAAACCUUUUUCAGACCUCCAUCAAAGCAGAAGAUACACACACCCUGGCCAAACAACUUGUGCUCUGGCAAACAAAAGAAGCUCUCAAAGCACUCCCUACCAGCAGCCCCCGUUCCCCAGCAGGCAGCUGCUUCUGUGCCACAGAGAGAAGCCCAGUGCCCUGUGGUUAGGACAGCCCACGCUACUCAGUUCUCUGCGGCUGGAGUUUGCCUUCAUGUCUCAGAAACCUGCUGGGCACCAGUGCACAUAAGACACUGGGGAACAACACUCCCUCUGACAAUGAGCUCUAAUUUAAGCCUGCUGAGGUACAAUGAAAUAAACCUUGAUCAGCUGCAGGCCUUUGAACAUGGAAACAGCCAGCCACACAGAACAGUCAGACCUAGCUGAUACGAAUAUUGGCCAGAGCCAGAAAUUCUCAAGCAGCUAAAAAGGAGACUACAGAGCACACAUGUAUCCAACCAGGGAAUACUUCAACACUGUUUGAGUCAGGAGUAGGACCACAGAAUGAGGAAGGGAGAAAGAGCCAUAUACAACAUAGAUUGAUAAGACGGUUAUCAUUGUGUCCUUCACCUUCCCUGUGUGAAGGGCUAUAGGGUCAAGACAGCCUUUCUCCUGCGAUUUUCUGCACAAGCUGUGUAGACACACUUACCUCCAGUGUACUGAUACAUUUGCAACAGGUUAGAGAUUCCAGCUGAGAAUAAACAAAUCGCAGUCCCCUGAGGCAGUGUGGAGGGACAGACCUUAACUGCAGCAGUGAGGAGAAAGUAAGGACAAUAUACAUCAAAAUAUUACAGUGUAAGAGCAGCUGCCAGCCCAGGCCUGCCUCUGCAAGGGACCUCCCAUUUCCAUGCCGGAGCCUCCCUCCUCAACACUCCAGCUUUUGCUCAUAGCCAAGCUUCACCCCAAGCAAGUGUUGCAGGAGUUUAUACUUAGCCUUCUAAGGAAGCCGCAAAAGCCUACCCAGUUUUUAGGAGUAGAGGCAUUCUGCAACCACACAACUAAGUCAAGAAAAGCCAAACAGCAAGACUCAGAGCCAGCUCUGCCUCCUGUACUUACUUCCAGAUGCCGGAGGGACUUGAAAGGGAAGAUCUUCACAGCAGAUUGCAAAACACAGUUUGGAACAUGAACGAGCUAGAGAAAUCAGAAAAGAAGCCUCAUGUCAAGCUUGAUUUGUGCUGCAACACCACCCGCCCCAUGUACCGACUGCAGCACCUUGAACAGGCCCCCCACUCCAGCUGAGGUGUUCACUAACAAGAUCUCCCCCGACGCUGGUAUCAGCACAGUCUCCUGGCCCCAGAGUUCAACAGAGGUCAAAGAGAAAAGCACAUUAGGUAGCACAAGACCACAGUCUGCCAGACCAUAGAGCUGCUUUUCUUCUCCCCUGCCCAUGUGGCUUCACCACUUUCAGAACCACAAGGAGGUCUGACAGCUGGAUUCUUCAUCAGCCACCACUAACAAAUCUACUAAAAAGACAAAUCUAACUGCUGGAGCUAUGUUUAUUGAGCAACCGAGCUGAACUAGCACCCUGGUGGGAGGUGUGCAUGUGCAUUUUACCAGAACAGGCCAAAUAAGGCAAAUCACAAGCAGACACAAUGGAAAACAGAGUUGGUCUCCAAGACACUGCAUUAGACUGAGGUACCUGCAAACCUCCUCUCUGCGUUCUGUAGUGCAGCCACACGCUCUUUCACCAUGGGGUAGUUAGGCUGUGUUCAUGUACCACAAAGCAGCUUAUUAAAUACAGCUGCUUAUGCUUUCUACAGACGGUGCAUAAACAGUAUUUCGAAGGGAGUAAUGUAGUUGGUGCUUCCACUGCGGAGACCAGAGUACAACUGGAGAGACCAUCUCUGCCAGCUACAUCCACAUUCACGCCGAAGUGACUCAUCAGGUGCAGAACAGACAUCCCGAGGCCUCAUCACCACUACCGCUUCCACAGUUACAGCCCUGGUGGUGAUGAAUCACUGCCCGCUGCCUGCCAGCACUAAUGCGGCAUGUUGAACAGGACCAUUUGUAGGGAAAGCUUGCACUGGGAAGCUGAUGAUCAGUCUUAGCAAAGUUUUUCAGAUGCCAUCCUUGCUCUGUGUCCUGACUGUCUCCUCUCCCUCCACUGCCUUAAGAAUUUGAUCAGGCUGAUAUAAAUUAUUAGUUUCUCCAAGCAAAUCAGUUAUCACACCA